Camelina sativa (false flax) is the source of this 389-nucleotide small nucleolar RNA. RefSeq annotates it as small nucleolar RNA U3. NCBI's taxonomy places the organism in Eukaryota, Viridiplantae, Streptophyta, Magnoliopsida, Brassicales, Brassicaceae. The record is from RefSeq and is a predicted model, not a curated record.
ACGACCUUACUUGAACAGGAUCUGUUCUAUAGGCUCGUACCUCUGUUUCCUUGAUUUCUAAGGAGACAGGCCCUUAUCCCUGGUUGAUGAACCAUGACCGUCCGAUCAGAGCGUGAUUAACGGCCACGAUCUGUUCUUGGACGCAUCCGGUGCUGUAGAGGAUCGUUACUCGGCUCGGUUCUACCUUGCCGGGGUGGUCGCACGGCGGUCUGACAGGUUUUAUCAUCUACCAUGAAAUAUAAAUUUCAGGUCUUGACAAAAAAGAAGAGCUUAGUGAAGCUGAAGAAAUAUGCAGUAAAGCAGCAGCACAAAUUCAUUAUGGUAGUACCGUAGUAGCAGCAAACAGAGUAACAACGACUAGAAUUCUUGAGAGACUCUGAUUGCGAUGG